Molecule: ribosomal RNA, 129 nt
Filed under: Homo sapiens (human)
Lineage: Eukaryota; Metazoa; Chordata; Mammalia; Primates; Hominidae
Description: Human 60S ribosomal RNA L35
Source: RNAcentral
GCCAGGAUCAAGGCCCAAGACCUUCUCGGGAAGAAGGAGGAGGAGCUGCUGAAACAGCUGGACGACCUAAAGGUGGAGCUGUCCCAGCUGCGCGUCGCCAAAGUGACGGGCGGCGCGGCCUCCAAGCUC